This 316-nucleotide signal recognition particle RNA is filed under the name Microcebus murinus (gray mouse lemur). Its description in RNAcentral is "Metazoan signal recognition particle RNA (ENSMICG00000030620.2)". It matches the Rfam family "Metazoan signal recognition particle RNA". Rfam says of the family: The signal recognition particle (SRP) is a universally conserved ribonucleoprotein. It is involved in the co-translational targeting of proteins to membranes. The eukaryotic SRP consists of a 300-nucleotide 7S RNA and six proteins: SRPs 72, 68, 54, 19, 14, and 9. Lineage: Eukaryota; Metazoa; Chordata; Mammalia; Primates; Cheirogaleidae. The record is from RNAcentral.
GCUGGGCAUGGUGGUGCAUGCCUGUAGUCCCAGCUAGUCAGGAGGCUGAGGCAGCAGGAUUGCUUGAGCCCAGGAGUUUGAGGUUGCUGUGAGCUAGGCUGAUGCCACGGCACUCACUCUAGCCUAGGCAACACAGCGAGACUCUGUCUCCAGAAAAAAAAAAAAAAAAUUAAAACAAAAGAAAGAAUCAGAGCCAUUUAAACUUUUUUUUUUUUGAGACAGAGUCUCACUCUGUUUCCCUGAGCUAGAGUGCCGUGGUGUCAGCCUAGCUCACAGCAACCUCAAACUCCUGGGCUCAAGCGAUCCUCCUGCCUCA